AAGGUGGCCUAUGCUACUGCUAUGGAUUGGUUUAUAGCAGUGUGCUAUGCCUUU
This is a non-coding RNA of Chaetura pelagica (chimney swift), 54 nucleotides long. NCBI's taxonomy places the organism in Eukaryota, Metazoa, Chordata, Aves, Apodiformes, Apodidae. The record is from Rfam.